This 430-nucleotide ribosomal RNA is filed under the name uncultured bacterium. RNAcentral's name for it is "bacterial SSU rRNA". It matches the Rfam family "Bacterial small subunit ribosomal RNA", at positions 354 to 776 of the family's 1533-position model. The record is from RNAcentral.
GUGGGGAAUUUUGGACAAUGGGCGAAAGCCUGAUCCAGCAAUGCCGCGUGUGUGAAGAAGGCCUUCGGGUUGUAAAGCACUUUUGUCCGGAAAGAAAUCCUUGGCUCUAAUACAGUCGGGGGAUGACGGUACCGGAAGAAUAAGCACCGGCUAACUACGUGCCAGCAGCCGCGGUAAUACGUAGGGUGCAAGCGUUAAUCGGAAUUACUGGGCGUAAAGCGUGCGCAGGCGGUUUGCUAAGACCGAUGUGAAAUCCCCGGGCUCAACCUGGGAACUGCAUUGGUGACUGGCAGGCUAGAGUAUGGCAGAGGGGGGUAGAAUUCCACGUGUAGCAGUGAAAUGCGUAGAGAUGUGGAGGAAUACCGAUGGCGAAGGCAGCCCCCUGGGCCAAUACUGACGCUCAUGCACGAAAGCGUGGGGAGCAAACAGG